RNAcentral lists this ribosomal RNA (1388 nucleotides) under Microbacterium sp. INBio_4507L. RNAcentral describes it as "bacterial SSU rRNA". It matches the Rfam family "Bacterial small subunit ribosomal RNA". The record is from RNAcentral. Lineage: Bacteria; Bacillati; Actinomycetota; Actinomycetes; Micrococcales; Microbacteriaceae.
UUACCAUGCAGUCGAACGAUGAACUGGGUGCUUGCACCUGGGGAUUAGUGGCGAACGGGUGAGUAACACGUGAGCAACCUGCCCCUGACUCUGGGAUAAGCGCUGGAAACGGUGUCUAAUACUGGAUAUGAGCUCCUGCCGCAUGGUGGGGGUUGGAAAGAUUUUUUGGUUGGGGAUGGGCUCGCGGCCUAUCAGCUUGUUGGUGAGGUAAUGGCUUACCAAGGCGUCGACGGGUAGCCGGCCUGAGAGGGUGACCGGCCACACUGGGACUGAGACACGGCCCAGACUCCUACGGGAGGCAGCAGUGGGGAAUAUUGCACAAUGGGCGGAAGCCUGAUGCAGCAACGCCGCGUGAGGGAUGACGGCCUUCGGGUUGUAAACCUCUUUUAGCAGGGAAGAAGCUUUUGUGACGGUACCUGCAGAAAAAGCACCGGCUAACUACGUGCCAGCAGCCGCGGUAAUACGUAGGGUGCAAGCGUUAUCCGGAAUUAUUGGGCGUAAAGAGCUCGUAGGCGGUUUGUCGCGUCUGCUGUGAAAUCCCGAGGCUCAACCUCGGGCCUGCAGUGGGUACGGGCAGACUAGAGUGCGGUAGGGGAGAUUGGAAUUCCUGGUGUAGCGGUGGAAUGCGCAGAUAUCAGAGGAACACCGAUGGCGAAGGCAGAUCUCUGGGCCGUAACUGACGCUGAGGAGCGAAAGGGUGGGGAGCAAACAGGCUUAGAUACCCUGGUAGUCCACCCCGUAAACGUUGGGAACUAGUUGUGGGGUCCAUUCCACGGAUUCCGUGACGAAGCUAACGCAUUAAGUUCCCCGCCUGGGGAGUACGGCCGCAAGGCUAAAACUCAAAGGAAUUGACGGGGACCCGCACAAGCGGCGGAGCAUGCGGAUUAAUUCGAUGCAACGCGAAGAACCUUACCAAGGCUUGACAUACACCGGAAACGGCCAGAGAUGGUCGCCCCGUAAGGUCGGUGUACAGGUGGUGCAUGGUUGUCGUCAGCUCGUGUCGUGAGAUGUUGGGUUAAGUCCCGCAACGAGCGCAACCCUCGUUCUAUGUUGCCAGCACGUUAUGGUGGGAACUCAUGGGAUACUGCCGGGGUCAACUCGGAGGAAGGUGGGGAUGACGUCAAAUCAUCAUGCCCCUUAUGUCUUGGGCUUCACGCAUGCUACAAUGGCCGGUACAAAGGGCUGCGAUACCGUAAGGUGGAGCGAAUCCCAAAAAGCCGGUCCCAGUUCGGAUUGAGGUCUGCAACUCGACCUCAUGAAGUCGGAGUCGCUAGUAAUCGCAGAUCAGCAACGCUGCGGUGAAUACGUUCCCGGGUCUUGUACACACCGCCCGUCAAGUCAUGAAAGUCGGUAACACCUGAAGCCGGUGGCCUAACCCUUGUGAGGAG